AUUGCUUCUUGGCCUUUUGGCUAAGAUCAAGUGUGAGCCACCCUAGCACCACCAAGCUAUUUAAACUUAAGUUUGACUGUUGAUUUUGUUGUAUGACUUUGGAAAGUUCUUUAAUCCUUUAGGACCUCAGUUUUUUCAUCUAUGACAUGGAGAUCACAGUAUUUAUACUUAAUAGAGGUCUA
Canis lupus familiaris (dog) is the source of this 182-nucleotide non-coding RNA. The record is from Rfam. NCBI's taxonomy places the organism in Eukaryota, Metazoa, Chordata, Mammalia, Carnivora, Canidae.